GCCACUCACCCGGGGGGUCUCGACAAGAGGCUGAGAUACUGCUGGCCGGAUUCCAACACCGCGCAGCGCAGUGACCCGAUGAACCUGAUCCAGUUCACACUGGCGUAGGGAUGGUGUCAUGGCUGCGCG
Regulatory RNA element from Pseudooceanicola marinus, 129 nucleotides. It matches the Rfam family "TPP riboswitch aptamer (THI element)". From Rfam's summary of the family: Vitamin B(1) in its active form thiamin pyrophosphate (TPP) is an essential coenzyme that is synthesised by coupling of pyrimidine and thiazole moieties in bacteria. The previously detected thiamin-regulatory element, thi box was extended, resulting in a new, highly conserved RNA secondary structure, the THI element, which is widely distributed in eubacteria and also occurs in some archaea. Analysis of operon structures identified a large number of new candidate thiamin-regulated genes, mostly transporters, in various prokaryotic organisms. Lineage: Bacteria; Pseudomonadati; Pseudomonadota; Alphaproteobacteria; Rhodobacterales; Paracoccaceae. The record is from Rfam.